AAGUCGAACGGUGAAGCCAAGCUUGCUUGGUGGAUCAGUGGCGAACGGGUGAGUAACACGUGAGCAACCUGCCCUGGACUCUGGGAUAAGCGCUGGAAACGGUGUCUAAUACUGGAUAUGAGAUGUGAUCGCAUGGUCAUGUUUGGAAAGAUUUUUCGGUCUGGGAUGGGCUCGCGGCCUAUCAGCUUGUUGGUGAGGUAAUGGCUCACCAAGGCGUCGACGGGUAGCCGGCCUGAGAGGGUGACCGGCCACACUGGGACUGAGACACGGCCCACACUCCUACGGGAGGCAGCAGUGGGGAAUAUUGCACAAUGGGCGGAAGCCUGAUGCAGCAACGCCGCGUGAGGGAUGACGGCCUUCGGGUUGUAAACCUCUUUUAGCAGGGAAGAAGCGUAAGUGACGGUACCUGCAAAAAAAGCGCCGGCUAACUACGUGCCAGCAGCCGCGGUAAUACGUAGGGCGCAAGCGUUAUCCGGAAUUAUUGGGCGUAAAGAGCUCGUAGGCGGUUUGUCGCGUCUGCUGUGAAAUCCCGAGGCUCAACCUCGGGUCUGCAGUGGGUACGGGCAGACUAGAGUGCGGUAGGGGAGAUUGGAUUUCGUGGUGUAGCGGUGGAAUGCGCAGAUAUCAGGAGGAACACCGAUGGCGAGGGCAGAUCUCUGGGCCGUAACUGACGCUGAGGAGCG
RNAcentral lists this ribosomal RNA (683 nucleotides) under Microbacterium sp. VM12. RNAcentral describes it as "bacterial SSU rRNA". It matches the Rfam family "Bacterial small subunit ribosomal RNA", at positions 59 to 755 of the family's 1533-position model. Lineage: Bacteria; Bacillati; Actinomycetota; Actinomycetes; Micrococcales; Microbacteriaceae. The record is from RNAcentral.